UCACCCCUCAAGCUCAGCUUGGUGUUGGGCAACGCGGUCCGCCGCGUGCCUCAAAUCGACCGGCUGGGUCUUCUGUCCCCUAAGCGUUGUGGAAACUAUUCGCUAAAGGGUGUUCGGGAGGCUACGCCGUAAAACAACCCCAUUUCUAA
This 149-nucleotide unclassified non-coding RNA is filed under the name uncultured Cladosporium. Its description in RNAcentral is "sequence contains ITS2". The record is from RNAcentral. Lineage: Eukaryota; Fungi; Ascomycota; Dothideomycetes; Cladosporiales; Cladosporiaceae.